Molecule: ribosomal RNA, 406 nt
Filed under: uncultured bacterium
Lineage: Bacteria
Description: partial 16S ribosomal RNA
Rfam family: Bacterial small subunit ribosomal RNA
Source: RNAcentral
AUUGAACGCUGGCGGCAGGCUUAACACAUGCAAGUCGAGCGCGCGGCGGACGGGUGAUUAAUGUCUGUGCCACUGCCUGGUGGAUGGGGAUAACUACUGGAAACGGUAGCUAAUACCGCAUACCAUCAGCGGUCCCCAGAUGGGAUUAGCUAGUAGGUGGGGUAAUGGCUCACCUGGGCGACGAUCCCUAGCUGGUCUGCGAGGAGGACCAGCCACACUGGGACUGAGACACGGGCCAGAGUCCUACGUGAGGCAGCAGUGGGGAAUAUUGCACAAGGGGGGAAAGCCUGAUGCAGCCAUGCCGCGUGUAUGAAGAAGGCCUUCGGGUUGUAAAGGACUUUUAGCGGGGAGGCGGUACCCGCAGAAGAAGCACCGGCUAACUCCGUGCCAGCAGCCGCGGUAAUAC